RNAcentral lists this ribosomal RNA (876 nucleotides) under Triticum aestivum (bread wheat). RNAcentral describes it as "partial small subunit ribosomal RNA". The record is from RNAcentral. Lineage: Eukaryota; Viridiplantae; Streptophyta; Magnoliopsida; Poales; Poaceae.
AUGAGUAAUGACUCCUUCCUAAUCUGUUCUUGGAAUGUACGAGGACUUGGUGAUAACGAUAAGUGCACUGAUGUGCUUUCCAAACUAAUCGCAACCAAACCGCACAUCACACUCCUACAAGAAUCAAAACUCGACUCUCUACCUGACAGCAAAAUAAAAUCCUUCCUCCCACGCCAGACCGACCACGUUUUCUCCUUGCCAGCGGUCGGAACCGUGGGUGGCACCAUCUCGGCCAUCAACUCUGCCUCCUUCCAAGUCGUGGCCUUCUCCCACUUAACCUUUUCAUCCACACUAAUCCUCCAAUCAACCGCCCGUGCGCACCACAUUGCCAUUACUAACAUAUACGCUCCCUCUUUGCUCUCUCUCAAGCUAGCGUUCCUAGAAGAACUCACCUCCAUCGCACAACCAGAUGACACCCCAUGGCUCAUCGCUGGCGACUUCAACCUCAUCCGUUUCCCCUCCGAGAAAAAUAACCCCGCCUUCCACUCCGCCGAAGCCAACGCGUUCAAUCAAACUCUAGAUAACCUAGCUCUCAUCGAAUUGCCACUACUCGAUCGUAGGUUUACUUGGUCCAACAACCGUGCCUCCCCCACCCUAGAACGACUAGAUCGCGUUUUCUUUAACCUUGCAUGGGCAGAUACGUUCCCCAACACUUCCCUCUCCUCUCGAUCCCGCUUUACGUCUGAUCACGUCCCACUCCUCAUCCACGUCACCACCUCCAUCCCUAAAUCCAACUUCUUCAAAUUCGAAGCGGCUUGGGCCAACUCCCGCCCAUGCAAGAACAUUGUUGCUCAAAUCUGGUCACCACAGCCCACAUCGCCAAACAAUGCUACUGCCUCCCUUGUCUCUACUCUAAAAAACUCGUGCCCGUCUUAA